This 449-nucleotide ribosomal RNA is filed under the name uncultured bacterium. RNAcentral's name for it is "partial 16S ribosomal RNA". It matches the Rfam family "Bacterial small subunit ribosomal RNA", at positions 29 to 523 of the family's 1533-position model. The record is from RNAcentral.
AACGAACGCUGGCGGCAUGCCUAACACAUGCAAGUCGAACGAGAUCUUCGGGUCUAGUGGCGCACGGGUGCGUAACGCGUGGGAAUCUGCCCUUUGGCUCGGAAUAACAGUUGGAAACGACUGCUAAUACCGGAUGAUGACGAAAGUCCAAAGAUUUAUCGCCAGAGGAUGAGCCCGCGUAGGAUUAGCUAGUUGGUGUGGUAAAGGCGCACCAAGGCGACGAUCCUUAGCUGGUCUGAGAGGAUGAUCAGCCACACUGGGACUGAGACACGGCCCAGACUCCUACGGGAGGCAGCAGUGGGGAAUAUUGGACAAUGGGCGAAAGCCUGAUCCAGCAAUGCCGCGAGAGUGAUGAAGGCCUUAGGGUUGUAAAGCUCUUUUACCCGGGAUGAUAAUGACAGUACCGGGAGAAUAAGCUCCGGCUAACUCCGUGCCAGCCGCCGCGGUAA